UGGGUUGUGGCUUAGUGGUAGAGUGCUUGCCUAGCAUGCACGGGGCACUGAGUUUGAUCCUCAGCACCAUAU
Non-coding RNA from Ictidomys tridecemlineatus (thirteen-lined ground squirrel), 72 nucleotides. The record is from Rfam. Lineage: Eukaryota; Metazoa; Chordata; Mammalia; Rodentia; Sciuridae.